RNAcentral lists this ribosomal RNA (468 nucleotides) under uncultured bacterium. RNAcentral describes it as "partial 16S ribosomal RNA". It matches the Rfam family "Bacterial small subunit ribosomal RNA", at positions 28 to 506 of the family's 1533-position model. The record is from RNAcentral.
GACGAACGCUGGCGGCGUGCCUAACACAUGCAAGUCGAACGGAAAGGCCCUGCUUGCAGGGUGCUCGAGUGGCGAACGGGUGAGUAACACGUGGGUGAUCUGCCUCUUACUUUGGGAUAAGCCUGGGAAACUGGGUCUAAUACUGGAUAGGACCUUGCUUUAGGUGGUGUGGUGGAAAGAUUAGUUUCGGUAUGGGAUGAGCUCGCGGCCUAUCAGCUUGUUGUUGGGGUAGUGGCCUAGCAAGGCGUCGACGGGUAGCCGGCCUGCGAGGGUGGACGGCCACAUUGGAACUGUGCUACGGGCCAGAGUCCGGAGUGAGGCAGCAGUGGGGAAUGUUGCACAAUGGGCGCAAGCCUGAGGCAGGAAGGCCGCGUGGGGGAUGAACGCUGUCGGGUUGUAAACUCCUAUCUGCCAUGACGAGGGCCUUGUGGGGACGGAAGUGGUAAAAGAGGCACGGCCUAAUUCCGU